Molecule: ribosomal RNA, 462 nt
Filed under: uncultured Hydrogenophaga sp.
Lineage: Bacteria; Pseudomonadati; Pseudomonadota; Betaproteobacteria; Burkholderiales; Comamonadaceae
Description: bacterial SSU rRNA
Rfam family: Bacterial small subunit ribosomal RNA
Source: RNAcentral
GACGGGGCCCGCACAAGCGGUGGAGCACGUGGUUUAAUUCGAUGCUAACCGAAGAACCUUACCACCUUGACAUGGCAGGAAGUUACCAGAGAUGGUUCGUGCUCGAAAGAGAACCUGCACACAGGUGCUGCAUGGCUGUCGUCAGCUCGUGUCGUGAGAUGUUGGGUUAAGUCCCGCAACGAGCGCAACCCUUGCCAUCAGUUGCUACGAAAGGGCACUCUGACGGGACUGCCGGUGACAAACCGGAGGAAGGUGGGGAUGACGUCAAGUCCUCAUGGCCCUUAUAGGUGGGGCUACACACGUCAUACAAUGGCCGGUACAAAGGGCAGCCAACCCGCGAGGGGGAGCCAAUCCCAUAAAGCCGGUCGUAGUCCGGAUCGCAGUCUGCAACUCGACUGCGUGAAGUCGGAAUCGCUAGUAAUCGUGGAUCAGCAUGUCACGGUGAAUACGUUCCCGGGUCUU